This 460-nucleotide ribosomal RNA is filed under the name uncultured bacterium. RNAcentral describes it as "partial 16S ribosomal RNA". It matches the Rfam family "Bacterial small subunit ribosomal RNA", at positions 338 to 795 of the family's 1533-position model. The record is from RNAcentral.
CCUACGGGUGGCAGCAGUGAGGAAUAUUGGUCAAUGGACGAGAGUCUGAACCAGCCAAGUAGCGUGAAGGAUGACUGCCCUCUGGGUUGUAAACGUCUUUUAUAAAGGAAUAAAACGAGGCACGUGUGCCUUUUUGCAUGUACUUUAUGAAUAAGGAUCGGCUAACUCCGUGCCAGCAGCCGCGGUAAUAAGGAGGAGCAGAGCGUUAUCUGGAUGUAUUGUGUUGAAAGGGAGCGGAGAUGGGUUGGUAAGUCAGUUGUGAAAGUUUGGGGCGCAACCGGAAAAUCGCAAUUGAUACUGGCAGUCUUGAGUACAGUUGAGGUAGGCGGAAUUCGAUGUGAAGCGGUGAAAUGCUUAGAUAUCACGAAGAACCCCGAUUGCGAAGGCAGCUUACUAAAUUGUGACUGACAUUGAUGGUCGAAAGUGUGGGUAUCAAACAGGAUUAGAUACCCGUGUAGUC